This 253-nucleotide ribosomal RNA is filed under the name uncultured bacterium. RNAcentral's name for it is "partial 16S ribosomal RNA". It matches the Rfam family "Bacterial small subunit ribosomal RNA", at positions 524 to 776 of the family's 1533-position model. The record is from RNAcentral.
UACGUAGGGGGCAAGCGUUGUCCGGAUUCAUUGGGCGUAAAGAGCGUGUAGGCGGCCAGGUAGGUCCGUUGUGAAAACUCGAGGCUCAACCUCGAGACGUCGAUGGAAACCAUCUGGCUAGAGUCCGGAAGAGGAGAGUGGAAUUCCUGGUGUAGCGGUGAAAUGCGCAGAUAUCAGGAAGAACACCCGUGGCUAAGGCGGUUCUCUAGUACGGUACUGACGCUGAGACGCGAAAGCGUGGGGAGCGAACAGG